Molecule: ribosomal RNA, 331 nt
Filed under: uncultured bacterium
Lineage: Bacteria
Description: bacterial SSU rRNA
Rfam family: Bacterial small subunit ribosomal RNA
Source: RNAcentral
CGUGUAGGCGGUAAUGUAAGUCAGACGUGAAAUCCUUUGGCUCAACUGAAGAACUGCGUCUGAAACUGCAUGACUAGAGUGCAGAAGAGGGAAACGGAAUUCCCGGUGUAGAGGUGAAAUUCGUAGAUAUCGGGAGGAACACCGGUGGCGAAGGCGGUUUCCUGGUCUGACACUGACGCUGAGGCGUGAAAGCGUGGGGAGCAAACAGGAUUAGAUACCCUGGUAGUCCACGCCGUAAACGGUGGGUACUGGGUGUGGGAGGUGUAAUGCCUUCUGUGCCGAAGCUAACGCGUUAAGUACCCCGCCUGGGGAGUACGGCCGCAAGGUUGAA